RNAcentral lists this unclassified non-coding RNA (402 nucleotides) under soil metagenome. RNAcentral describes it as "partial contains 5.8S ribosomal RNA, internal transcribed spacer 2, and large subunit ribosomal RNA". The stretch from base 1 to 120 matches the Rfam family "5.8S ribosomal RNA", at positions 35 to 154 of the family's 154-position model. The record is from RNAcentral.
GAUGAAGAACGUAGCGAAAUGCGAUAAAUAAUGUGAAUUGCAGAAUUCAGUGAAUCAUCGAAUCUUUGAACGCACCUUGCGCUCCUUGGUAUUCCGAGGAGCAUGCCUGUUUGAGUGUCAUGAAACUCUCACCCUCUAGCUUUCUUAAUCGUGGCUAGCGGCGUGGACGUGAGCGCUGCUGCUUUAUUGCGGCUCGCUCGAAAUGUAUUAGCAGACCCUUUUCGUAAUCGGUUCCACUCAACGUGAUAAGUAUUUCGUUGAGGACAGUUGCAGCAAUGCGGCUGGCCGGGAUAAGAAAGGUAUAGUUGUCAGCUUCUAAUCGCCCUUGGGCAAUUUUUUAUGAUCUGGCCUCAAAUCAGGUAGGACUACCCGCUGAACUUAAGCAUAUCAAUAAGCGGAGGA